CGGUAGUUCAGUUGGUUAGAAUGCCUGCCUGUCACGCAGGAGGUCGCGGGUUCGAGUCCCGUCCGG
RNAcentral lists this transfer RNA (66 nucleotides) under Bacillus licheniformis. It matches the Rfam family "tRNA", at positions 5 to 66 of the family's 71-position model. From Rfam's summary of the family: Transfer RNA (tRNA) molecules are approximately 80 nucleotides in length. Their secondary structure includes four short double-helical elements and three loops (D, anti-codon, and T loops). Further hydrogen bonds mediate the characteristic L-shaped molecular structure. tRNAs have two regions of fundamental functional importance: the anti-codon, which is responsible for specific mRNA codon recognition, and the 3' end, to which the tRNAs corresponding amino acid is attached (by aminoacyl-tRNA synthetases). tRNAs cope with the degeneracy of the genetic code in two manners: having more than one tRNA (with a specific anti-codon) for a particular amino acid; and 'wobble' base-pairing, i.e. permitting non-standard base-pairing at the 3rd anti-codon position. RNAcentral also lists the same sequence under 40 other names. The record is from RNAcentral. Lineage: Bacteria; Bacillati; Bacillota; Bacilli; Caryophanales; Bacillaceae.